GUAACCCUCAUUGAGAAGGCAAUGAUUGUUGUUGAUCCGAAGUAUGAAGAGCUAUGUGAUCAUAAAAGGAUCUCGUUUCAUCUGGAAAUUUCAGAUGACCUGCAAGGAACAGAAGAAUGAGAGAUGCCUAUGUCAUUUGACUUUAUGGAUGGAGAACCGGUGCCGAUGGAGGAGGAACGGCUGCCGCUGUUUGCAAGGAUCAACAAGGGAGAGAGAGCCAAGUCUGUGUCAUUUGACUUUAUGGAUGGGGAACCGGUGCCGAUGGAGGAGGAACGGCUGCCGCUGUUUGCAAGGAUCAACAAGGGAGAGAGAGCCAAGUCUGUGUCAUUUGACUUUAUGGAUGGGGAACCGGUGCCGAUGGAGGAGGAACGGCUGCCGCUGUUUGCAAGGAUCAACAAGGGAGAGAGAGCCAAGUCUGUGUCAUUUGACUUUAUGGAUGGGGAACCGGUGCCGAUGGAUGGGGAACCGGUGCCGAUGGAGGAGGAACGGUUGCAGCUGUUUGCAAGGAUCAACAGGGGAGAGAAAGCAGGUCUGUAGAUUCUAUAAUUGCAUUGAUGUGGGUGACAAUCCGAGGAGAGAGCGAUGUAUGUAGAUUCCAUAACUGCACUGAUGUGUGACGAUGAUGUACUUGAUCGAGUUGCUUAUUAAUAUCAGUGUACUUGGAAGCUAUUAUUAAUAUGCUCGGACAUUGCUUACGCUCGUGCUAGGAGAACCUUGAAGAGGAAGGCGGCUGAUUUUAACGCUAUUCUUAAGAUGCUCAUAGUGAUAUAUUAUGAAAAGUAUAGUUUGAUUUUUAUUUAUUUUUUGUUAUAGAAAUAAACUAUACUGUAAGUGCUUUAAUUAAGCGUUUAUCCAAACAAGACCUUGGUCCAACCAUGUUCAUCCAUUGCAAACCAAGGUUGAGGGGUUCCCAUCAUGAAACUGAACAUGGUUGUGUUAAUUGUAUAGAGCAGAGGUAAACAUGCCUAGUGAAUUUGUGGUUGGAAUUUGAUGACAGAGUAUCUGAUUCAGUAUCUAUCUUUGUUUGAUUAGCUAUGUGUCAUGUUGCUUGGUUCUCAUUUUGUUUAUGCAACUUCAACAUCACUUUCCUAGAGUUCAUUAAAGGUGAAAAGUGAGCCACGUCACUAGAUUCAACAAGUACAACACAGUCCUCGUACUAUAAGCCUCUUAAGAAUAGCGUUCAAAUCAGCAGCCUUCCUCUUCAAGGUUCUCCUAGCACGAGCGUAAGCAACGUCCGAGCAUAUUAAUAAUAGCUUCCAAGUACACUGUUAUUAAUAAGCAACUUGAUCAAGUACAUCAUCGUCACACAACAGUGCAGUUAUGGAAUCUACAUACAUCGCUCUCUCCUCGGAUUGUCACCCCCUCGGAUUGUCACCCACAUCAGUGAAAUUAUAGAAUCUACAUAUCUGUUCUCUCUCCCCUAUUGAUCCUUGCAAACAGCGGCAACCGUUCCUCCUCCAUCGGCACCGGUUCCCCAUCCAUCGGCACCGGUUCCCCAUCCAUAAAGUCAAAUGCCUAUAUUCUUUUGUUCCUUGCAGGUCAUCUGGAAUCUCCAGAUGAAGCGGGAUCAUUUUAUCAUCACUAGAUUCGAAACUCAGUUCAAAUCACAGGGGAUAAAUACUCAGAUAUGUAGAAUGGGAGAAAGUGUCACCAUUGUUCCUAUAAGUGCAAUAAGUUAACAAAAAUCCUAAGUUUCACUUCUCUUUUACCUUAAAAAAAAUGGAAUAAUAAUGAAGAGAGUGAAAUGGCUACUUUUAUAGUGGAACUUGCUCUGUAAAUAUACAGCAAAACAAAUUUUCACUCUCUUCAUUAUUAUUCAAAUUUUCACUUGCUGGUAUAUUUACAGAGCAAGUUCUACUAUAAAAGGAGCCAUUUCACUCUCUUCAUCAUUAUUCCAUUUUUUUCAAGGUAAAAGAGAGGUGAAACUUGGGAUUUUUGUUAAGUAGUAAUGUGGUUUUGCAUUUGUUUUCAUUUUUGUGUUGAGUGUUUUAUCAUCAAUGUGAUUCUGUAUUUUUUUUGUUAAUCACAAGUUAAACUGAAGAACAUGAAUCACAAGUAAGUAGUCUCACUCUCAUUAAUGUGAUUCUGAUAAAUAUUGAGCAUUAGCUAUUAUAAAAUUAUAGUGUUUUGGCUCCCUUUAUGCGUUGCUGUGUUUUGGCUCCCUUUAUGUUCCUAGUAUGUUCCUAAAAUUGUAGUGUUUGAAAUUAGAGUAGUGUUUGAGAUUAAUUAUUUAUCUAAUGUAUGUAUUUCAUAAUAGCUAAUGUAUUUAUUAUGUAUUUAGGUUUGAUUGGAGUAACCCUCAUUGAGAAGGCAAUGAUUGUUGUUGAUCCGAAGUAUGAAGAGCUAUGUGAUCAUAAAAGGAUCUCGUUUCAUCUGGAAAUUUCAGAUGACCUGCAAGGAACAGAAGAAUGAGAGAUGCCUAUGUCAUUUGACUUUAUGGAUGGAGAACCGGUGCCGAUGGAGGAGGAACGGCUGCCGCUGUUUGCAAGGAUCAACAAGGGAGAGAGAGCCAAGUCUGUGUCAUUUGACUUUAUGGAUGGGGAACCGGUGCCGAUGGAGGAGGAACGGCUGCCGCUGUUUGCAAGGAUCAACAAGGGAGAGAGAGCCAAGUUUGUAGAUUCAACAACUGCAAUGAUGGGUGACGAUGAUAUACUCGAUCGAGCCGAGGAAAUGAGUCCAAACAACUAUACUUUGG
Molecule: long non-coding RNA, 2695 nt
Filed under: Cicer arietinum (chickpea)
Lineage: Eukaryota; Viridiplantae; Streptophyta; Magnoliopsida; Fabales; Fabaceae
Description: long non-coding RNA (CARI_LNC000848)
Source: RNAcentral